Molecule: ribosomal RNA, 1422 nt
Filed under: uncultured bacterium
Lineage: Bacteria
Description: bacterial SSU rRNA
Rfam family: Bacterial small subunit ribosomal RNA
Source: RNAcentral
GAGUUUGAUCAUGGCUCAUAUUGAACGCUGGCGGCAGGCUUAACACAUGCAAGUCGAACGGUAGCAGGAGAAAGCUUGCUUUCUUGCUGACGAGUGGCGGACGGGUGAGUAAUGCUUGGGAAUCUGGCUUAUGGAGGGGGAUAACUACGGGAAACUGUAGCUAAUACCGCGUAGUGUCGAGAGACGAAAGUGCGGGACCGUAAGGCCGCAUGCCAUGAGAUGAGCCCAAGUGGGAUUAGGUAGUUGGUGGGGUAAAGGCCUACCAAGCCUGCGAUCUCUAGCUGGUCUGAGAGGAUGGCCAGCCACACUGGAACUGAGACACGGUCCAGACUCCUACGGGAGGCAGCAGUGGGGAAUAUUGCGCAAUGGGGGGAACCCUGACGCAGCCAUGCCGCGUGAAUGAAGAAGGCCUUCGGGUUGUAAAGUUCUUUCGGUAUUGAGGAAGGGAUGUGUGCUAAUAGUACAUAUCAUUGACGUUAAAUACAGAAGAAGCACCGGCUAACUCCGUGCCAGCAGCCGCGGUAAUACGGAGGGUGCGAGCGUUAAUCGGAAUAACUGGGCGUAAAGGGCACGCAGGCGGUUAUUUAAGUGAGGUGUGAAAGCCCCGGGCUUAACCUGGGAAUUGCAUUUCAGACUGGGUAACUAGAGUACUUAGGGGAGGGGUAGAAUUCCACGUGUAGCGGUGAAAUGCGUAGAGAAUGUGGAGGAAUACCGAAGGCGAAGGCAGCCCCUUGGGAAUGUACUGACGCUCAUGUGGAAAAGCGUGGGGAGCAAACAGGAUUAGAUACCCUGGUAGUUCCACGCUGUAAACGCUGUCGAUUUGGGGAUUGAGCUUUAAGCUUGGUGCCCGUAGCUAACGUGAUAAAAUCGACCGCCUGGGGAGUACGGCCGCAAGGUUAAAACUCAAAAUGAAAUUGACGGGGGCCCGCACAAGCGGUGGAGCAUGUGGUUUAAUUCGAUGCAAACGCGAAGAACCUUACCUACUCUUGACAUCCAUGGAAUCCUGUAGAGAUACGGGAGUGCCUUUCGGGAACCAUGAGACAGGUGCUGCAUGGCUGUCGUCAGCUCGUGUUGUGAAAAUGUUGGGUUAAGUCCCGCAACGAGCGCAACCCUUAUCCUUUGUUGCCAGCGAUUUGGUCGGGAAACUCAAAGGAGACUGCCAGUGAUAAACUGGAGGAAGGUGGGGAUGACGUCGAAGUUCAUCGUGGCCCUUACGAGUAGGGCUACACACGUGCUACGAAUGGCGUAUACGGAGGGUGGCGAAAAUUGCGAGAUGGAGCGAAAUCUCAGAAAAGUACGUCUAAGUUCCGGAUUGGAGUCUGCGAACUCGACUCCGUGAAGUCGGAAAUCGCUAGUGAAUCGCGAAUUCGGAAAUGUCGCGGUGAAAUACGUUUCCCGGGCCUUGUGACACCCCGCCCGUCA